This 72-nucleotide transfer RNA is filed under the name Pongo abelii (Sumatran orangutan). RNAcentral's name for it is "tRNA-Ala (AGC) (tRNA-Ala-AGC-1-1)". It matches the Rfam family "tRNA". From Rfam's summary of the family: Transfer RNA (tRNA) molecules are approximately 80 nucleotides in length. Their secondary structure includes four short double-helical elements and three loops (D, anti-codon, and T loops). Lineage: Eukaryota; Metazoa; Chordata; Mammalia; Primates; Hominidae. The record is from Rfam by way of RNAcentral.
GGGGGUGUAGCUCAGUGGUAGAGCGCGUGCUUAGCAAGCACGAGGCCCUGGGUUCAAUCCCCAGCACCUCCA